GAGUUUGAUCCUGGCUCAGGAUGAACGCUGGCGGCGUGCCUAACACAUGCAAGUCGAACGGGUGUACAGAAGGGAAGAUUACGGUCGGAAGAUCUGUGCAUGAGUGGCGGACGGGUGAGUAACGCGUGGGCAACCUGGCCUGUACAGGGGGAUAACACUUAGAAAUAGGUGCUAAUACCGCAUAACGGGGGAAGCCGCAUGGCUUUUUCCUGAAAACUCCGGUGGUGCAGGAUGGGCCCGCGUCUGAUUAGCCAGUUGGCAGGGUAACGGCCUACCAAAGCGACGAUCAGUAGCCGGCCUGAGAGGGCGGACGGCCACACUGGGACUGAGACACGGCCCAGACUCCUACGGGAGGCAGCAGUGGGGGAUAUUGCACAAUGGGGGAAACCCUGAUGCAGCGACGCCGCGUGGGUGAAGAAGCGCCUCGGCGCGUAAAGCCCUGUCAGCAGGGAGAAAUGACGGUACCUGAAGAAGAAGCCCCGGCUAACUACGUGCCAGCCGCCGCCGUAAU
RNAcentral lists this ribosomal RNA (511 nucleotides) under uncultured microorganism. RNAcentral's name for it is "bacterial SSU rRNA". It matches the Rfam family "Bacterial small subunit ribosomal RNA", at positions 9 to 524 of the family's 1533-position model. The record is from RNAcentral.